CAGCUGCACCAGUUUACAUUCUCACCAACAGUGUAGGUCAUAACUUCAUGUGAGUCAGCAUGUGGGUGGAUAAGAGACUUCUGGAGCUAUUCCUUCAUCGGAGCAGCAGCCAAAUGAUUAAGUGUGAACACAAAAUGAAGACUUCCAGGCAUGCAAGAAGCCAAAAACAUUAUUUCCCAUCAACUCUUUCUCAGGAAGCUGUUGGGAAAGG
Long non-coding RNA from Suricata suricatta (meerkat), 211 nucleotides. RefSeq lists it as uncharacterized. Lineage: Eukaryota; Metazoa; Chordata; Mammalia; Carnivora; Herpestidae. The transcript is spliced from 3 exons. The record is from RefSeq and is a predicted model, not a curated record.